RNAcentral lists this ribosomal RNA (222 nucleotides) under Triticum aestivum (bread wheat). Its description in RNAcentral is "partial small subunit ribosomal RNA". Lineage: Eukaryota; Viridiplantae; Streptophyta; Magnoliopsida; Poales; Poaceae. The record is from RNAcentral.
AUGCAAAAGGCUGCCUUGACCCAACAAAACUGCUUGCAUCUGUCUGCUCAAAGUGGCCCCAAUUCAGUACCGGCAGAAUGGAGGAUGCCGAAGAACUCAUCCAAUGUUUUCUUCAUGGUUUGGAUGAAGAGGAAGAUGAAGCACGUCAACCUUCAAUGGAUGCUUCAAAGAAGGUCACAAUUGUUAAUUCCAUCUUUGCAGGCGAGGAGUGUAGUGCUCUAA